AUUGAACGCUGGCGGUAUGCUUUACACAUGCAAGUCGAACGGUAACAGGUCUUCGGAUGCUGACGAGUGGCGAACGGGUGAGUAAUGUAUCGGAACGUGCCUAGUAAUGGGGGAUAACCACUCGAAAGAGUGACUAAUACCGCAUAAUAUCUCAGGAUGAAAGCGGGGGACCGUAAGGCCUCGCGUUAUUAGAGCGGCCGAUAUCAGAUUAGGUAGUUGGUGGGAUAAAAGCCUACCAAGCCAACGAUCUGUAGCUGGUCUGAGAGGACGACCAGCCACACUGGGACUGAGACACGGCCCAGACUCCUACGGGAGGCAGCAGUGGGGAAUUUUGGACAAUGGGCGAAAGCCUGAUCCAGCAAUACCGCGUGCAGGACGAAGGCCUUCGGGUUGUAAACUGCUUUGUACGGAACGAAACGGUUCAGAUUAAUACUCUGAACUAAUGACGGUACCGUAAGAAUAAGACACCGGCUAACUACGUGCCAGCAGCCGCGGUAAAACGUCUA
Molecule: ribosomal RNA, 506 nt
Filed under: uncultured bacterium
Lineage: Bacteria
Description: bacterial SSU rRNA
Rfam family: Bacterial small subunit ribosomal RNA
Source: RNAcentral